AUUGAACGCUGGCGGCAUGCCUUACACAUGCAAGUCGAACGGCAGCACGGGAGCAAUCCUGGUGGCGAGUGGCGAACGGGUGAGUAAUAUAUCGGAACGUGCCCAGUCGUGGGGGAUAACGUAGCGAAAGCUACGCUAAUACCGCAUACGAUCUAUGGAUGAAAGCGGGGGAUCGCAAGACCUCGCGCGAUUGGAGCGGCCGAUAUCAGAUUAGGUAGUUGGUGAGGUAAAGGCUCGCCAAGCCGACGAUCUGUAGCUGGUCUGAGAGGACGACCAGCCACACUGGGACUGAGACACGGCCCAGACUCCUACGGGAGGCGAGCAGUGGGGAAUUUUGGACAAUGGCGCAAGCCUGAUCCAGCAAUGCCGCGUGCAGGA
This 378-nucleotide ribosomal RNA is filed under the name uncultured bacterium. RNAcentral's name for it is "bacterial SSU rRNA". It matches the Rfam family "Bacterial small subunit ribosomal RNA", at positions 30 to 408 of the family's 1533-position model. The record is from RNAcentral.